UGGGGAAUAUUGCGCAAUGGGCGAAAGCCUGACGCAGCAAUGCCGCGUGAGUGAAGAAGGCCUUCGGGUCGUAAAGCUCUUUAUCUGAGGGAAGAUGAUGACGGUACCUCAGGAAGAAGCACCGGCUAACUACGUGCCAGCAGCCGCGGUGAUACGUAGGGUGCAAGCGUUGUUCGGAAUCACUGGGCGUAAAGGGCGUGUAGGCGGGAUGGUCAGCUAGAGGUGAAAUCCCGGGGCUCAACCCCGGAAAGUCUUUUAGAACUGCCGUUCUUGAGUUGGUCAGAGGUUAGCGGAAUUCCUGGUGUAGCGGUGAAAUGCGUAGAUAUCAGGAGGAACACCGGUGGCGAAAGCGGCUAACUGGGACCAAUCUGACGCUGAGGCGCGAAAGCGUGGGGAGCAAACAGG
RNAcentral lists this ribosomal RNA (405 nucleotides) under uncultured delta proteobacterium. RNAcentral's name for it is "bacterial SSU rRNA". It matches the Rfam family "Bacterial small subunit ribosomal RNA", at positions 355 to 776 of the family's 1533-position model. Lineage: Bacteria; Deltaproteobacteria. The record is from RNAcentral. RNAcentral also lists the same sequence under 1 other name.